Molecule: transfer RNA, 84 nt
Filed under: Thermofilaceae archaeon
Lineage: Archaea; Thermoproteati; Thermoproteota; Thermoprotei; Thermofilales; Thermofilaceae
Description: tRNA-Ser
Rfam family: tRNA
About the family: Transfer RNA (tRNA) molecules are approximately 80 nucleotides in length. Their secondary structure includes four short double-helical elements and three loops (D, anti-codon, and T loops).
Source: RNAcentral
GCCGGGGUGGCCGAGUGGACCAAGGCGCCGGCCUUGAGAGCCGGUACCCCUAUGGGUGCCCGGGUUCGAAUCCCGGCCCCGGCG